This 507-nucleotide ribosomal RNA is filed under the name uncultured bacterium. RNAcentral describes it as "bacterial SSU rRNA". It matches the Rfam family "Bacterial small subunit ribosomal RNA", at positions 15 to 518 of the family's 1533-position model. The record is from RNAcentral.
GAUUCUGGCUCAGGAUGAACGCUAGCUACAGGCUUAACACAUGCAAGUCGAGGGGUAGCAGGGUAGCAAUACCGCUGACGACCGGCGCACGGGUGAGUAACACGUAUCCAACCUUCCCAUAACUCAGGGAUAGCCUUUCGAAAGAAAGAUUAAUACCUGAUAGUACUUUUUCAAGGCAUCUUGAAAAAGUUAAAGAUUUAUCGGUUAUGGAUGGGGAUGCGUUCCAUUAGAUAGUUGGUGAGGUAACGGCUCACCAAGUCUUCGAUGGAUAGGGGUUCUGAGAGGAAGGUCCCCCACAUUGGUACUGAGACACGGACCAAACUCCUACGGGAGGCAGCAGUGAGGAAUAUUGGUCAAUGGGCGAGAGCCUGAACCAGCCAAGUAGCGUGAAGGAAUGAAGGUCCUAUGGAUUGUAAACUUCUUUUAUAGUAGAAUAAAGUGAGCCACGUGUGGUUUUUUGUAUGUAUACUAUGAAUAAGGAUCGGCUAACUCCGUGCCAGCCGCUGC